Molecule: ribosomal RNA, 364 nt
Filed under: uncultured bacterium
Lineage: Bacteria
Description: partial 16S ribosomal RNA
Rfam family: Bacterial small subunit ribosomal RNA
Source: RNAcentral
CCUACGGGUGGCUGCAGUGAGGAAUAUUGGUCAAUGGCCGGAAGGCUGAACCAGCCAUGCCGCGUGAAGGUCAGUGCCCUAUGGGCGUUAAACUUCUUUUGUGCGGGAGCAAUAAUGGUCACGUGUGGCCAGACGAGAGUACCGUACGAAUAAGCAUCGGCUAACUCCGUGCCAGCAGCAGCGGUUUUACGGGGGGUGCAAGCGUUAUCCGGAGUGUUUGGGUUUAAAGGGUGCGGAGGCUGUGAGGUAAGUCAGCGUUGGAAUGCCCCGGCUCAACGGGGUGAAGUGCCAUUGAUACUGGGUUGCUGGAGUGCAGAUGCGGUAGGAGGAAUGUGUGGUGUAGCGGUGAAAUGCAUAGAUAUCA